ACACCACUUCAAUGAUCACCUCCACAACAUUGUGCAGAAACUCAAACCCAAAAAAAUUCUAAAUUUUGAACAAAAAUUAACCAAACCCAGACCUCCAACAAAAAUCUAAAAUUUCAUUAAAACAAAACCACCAAUCUCAGAUCUAAAAUCAGAAAUGAUCGUGUUUGAUAUUUUCACCAUUUGAUUUAAAACCAGUCUCAGAUCUAACACUAAUCUCAGAUCCAAACUAAGAGUAACUCAAAAGGAUUGAGUAUUUUGUUGUUAUGAUAGUUUUUAUUUCUUCAUUGUUGUAGAUUAUUGUGUUAGAUGAUGUGGGAAGCAAUGGGUUUUGUUGAAAAAUGGUGAAGAUAGAACAUAGGUAUAG
This 364-nucleotide long non-coding RNA is filed under the name Cicer arietinum (chickpea). Its description in RNAcentral is "long non-coding RNA (CARI_LNC001175)". The record is from RNAcentral. Lineage: Eukaryota; Viridiplantae; Streptophyta; Magnoliopsida; Fabales; Fabaceae.